AAUAUUGGACAAUGGGGGCAACCCUGAUCCAGCAAUGCCGCGUGAGUGAUGAAGGCCUUAGGGUUGUAAAGCUCUUUUACCCGGGAUGAUAAUGACAGUACCGGGAGAAUAAGCCCCGGCUAACUCCGUGCCAGCAGCCGCGGUAAUACGGAGGGGGCUAGCGUUGUUCGGAAUUACUGGGCGUAAAGCGAACGUAGGCGGCGAUUUAAGUCAGAGGUGAAAGCCCGGGGCUCAACCCCGGAACAGCCUUUGAGACUGGAUUGCUUGAACAUCGGAGAGGUGAGUGGAAUUCCGAGUGUAGAGGUGAAAUUCGUAGAUAUUCGGAAGAACACCAGUGGCGAAGGCGGCUCACUGGACGAUUGUUGACGCUGAGGUGCGAAAGCGUGGGGAGCAAACAG
Molecule: ribosomal RNA, 398 nt
Filed under: uncultured bacterium
Lineage: Bacteria
Description: partial 16S ribosomal RNA
Rfam family: Bacterial small subunit ribosomal RNA
Source: RNAcentral